This 496-nucleotide ribosomal RNA is filed under the name uncultured bacterium. RNAcentral describes it as "partial 16S ribosomal RNA". It matches the Rfam family "Bacterial small subunit ribosomal RNA", at positions 28 to 506 of the family's 1533-position model. The record is from RNAcentral.
GAUGAACGCUGGCGGCGUGCCUAAUACAUGCAAGUCGAGCGAACGGACGAGAAGCUUGCUUUUCUGAUGUUAGCGGCGGACGGGUGAGUAACACGUGGAUAACCUACCUAUAAGACUGGGAUAACUUCGGGAAACCGGAGCUAAUACCGGAUAAUAUUUUGAACCGCAUGGUUCAAAAGUGAAAGACGGUCUUGCUGUCACUUAUAGAUGGAUCCGCGCUGCAUUAGCUAGUUGGUAAGGUAACGGCUUACCAAGGCAACGAUGCAUAGCCGACCUGAGAGGGUGAUCGGCCACACUGGAACUGAGACACGGUCCAGCCUCCUACGGGAGGCAGCAGUAGGGAAUCUUCCGCAAUGGGCGAAAGCCUGACGGAGAAACGCCGGGGGAGUGAUGAAGGUCUUCGGAUCGUAAACCUUUGUUAUUAGGGAAAAACAUAUGUGUAAGUAACUGUGCACAUUUUGACGGUCCCUAAUCAGAAAGCCACGGCUAACUACGU